AAUCUGGGUGAGCCUGCUCAGACGGNAUUCCUGUUUUAUUUUGUUUCCAUGGGGAGAAGUUCAUGGUAAGAAUUAGAGACAUUCAGUUCUAUCAGACCAAAUACACCACAACUGAGAAUACAUAUACACAUUGAUAUACUAAGAAAGUCAAAGUCAAGGAACCAAACUUAUAAUCAGUUCAACCAUCUAUUACAUGCCUUUAGGAAAAAAAUCAUCACCUCUCUCAGCUUUAGCUUCCUGAGAUACAAAUUACAGAUGAUAACCACCAUCUCUAUCCUCAGCAGUUUGUUCCAGAGUAUUUUACAUUAUAGUAUCACAAAAAGCAUUACAAAAUUUCAUAUCAUGCAUUAAUAAAGUUUCAAUUAAAUACUUCACAAGACAAACUGUUAUACCAGAUUCUGUAAACAGUACACCUAAGAAAAUGUUUUGUUUAUUAAGAAACAUACAACUAUAGUUCAUAACUUUUUAAGCAAGUACUCUUUACCAUGGAUAUAUAUUUUUGCAAGCAAAUAUUUACUUGUAAACUACCGUAUCUAAAUUCUCUUUUUCUCAUCAAUCAAAACUUAUUGUAAGGUACUAGAAAUUAGUAUUGAGAUUAGAUUUUUUGGUUCUUGUGCUAAGAAUUUCUGUAUGCUAGUCUUCAUUAAAAAAAUUUAAUUAUGAGGAAUUUAGAAACAAAAUAACCCAGGAUUAUGUCAUAUUUCAGAUUUUUUUUGGCUAUCAUACUCGUGGUUAUAGUUUAUUGUAAGGCAAGGACACGGAGGGUUCCAAAUGUCUCAGGAUAUGGUACCUUCUCAGUGUUGAUAUAUAUGACUACAUAGAGAGAGUAUUGCCAACCAAGCAAGUUGACCCAAGUCUCCAUGUGCAGAAAUUUUAUUAGGGCUGCAUUAGAUAAGCAUGACUGAUUGAUUGCCUACCUAGUAGAAACUCAGCCCCAGGUUGGCAGAUACAUGAUACAAAUUUCCCACUCUAAAAUCACUUGAUUGGCAUUUCUGGUGUGACCAGUUUCUACCCUACAUAUUUCAGAUUUUUUAAUGUUAAAAACAAUGAAAUCAUUAAAUUUUAAAUUUCUCAAUCAAUAUUUACUUCCAAUAUUUUAGACAAAAUAUUAAUAUAUGGGCUGGGGUUGUGGCUCAGUGGUAGAGUGCUCGCCUAGCACAUGCAAGGCCCUGGGUUUGAUUCUCAGCACCACAUACAAAUAAAUAAAGUAAAGGUAUUAUAUCCAUGUACAAUUAAAAAAAUUUAAAAAUAUAUAGUAAUAUAUUUUCACUCUCCAAAUAAAAGAUUCCC
This 1290-nucleotide long non-coding RNA is filed under the name Marmota monax (woodchuck). Lineage: Eukaryota; Metazoa; Chordata; Mammalia; Rodentia; Sciuridae. The record is from RNAcentral.